This 541-nucleotide long non-coding RNA is filed under the name Theobroma cacao (cacao). RNAcentral's name for it is "long non-coding RNA (TCAC_LNC006133)". The record is from RNAcentral. Lineage: Eukaryota; Viridiplantae; Streptophyta; Magnoliopsida; Malvales; Malvaceae.
AUCCCAUCAUCGGGAUUCCCGCGCCAUAUGCAAAGUAAGAGUGGCGUGCAAUGACAGUGUAAAAUGAUGGUAUCUAUAUGCACGCGUUUAUUGAUUGUUUAAAAAAUUUUGGUUAUUUAUUUAUUAUUUAUUAUUUAUUAUUAUUUAUUUAUUAUUUUUAUAUAUACUUUAUUUUUUGGUUAUUUAAAUCCAUGUUUGUUGUUGGUCAAUUUUUACUUGUUUACAAAGCUUAUCUAAAUAAUUAAUUAAUUAACUUUUAAAUGAUUAAUUUAACUUUGUUUAGUAAUAUUUAUUUGAAUUAACAAAAUCUUUCUACAUAUAUUAUUUUCUAAUAAUGACUAUUUGACUUAAUGGGUUUUGAAAUUUAGAGUUCAGAUUUAUCCCGACGCUUCGGUGAAAAUCCGUCUCGAAUUUCGUACCCGGAAAACAUCCGCCCGAAAGAGGCAACUCUUUGCCCCCUUUUUGGCGGUAAUACUCAAAUAUUUUCUUCCAAUUAUAUUAUUUAUUAUUAUUAUUUAUUUAUUUUUCAUUUUAUUAUUAU